GCGGAAGUAGCUCAGUUGAUAGAGCAUUAGCGUUCCAAGCUGAGGGUCGCGGGUUUGAGCCCCGUCUUCCGCUCCA
Molecule: transfer RNA, 76 nt
Filed under: Paludibacteraceae bacterium
Lineage: Bacteria; Pseudomonadati; Bacteroidota; Bacteroidia; Bacteroidales; Paludibacteraceae
Description: tRNA-Gly
Rfam family: tRNA
About the family: Transfer RNA (tRNA) molecules are approximately 80 nucleotides in length. Their secondary structure includes four short double-helical elements and three loops (D, anti-codon, and T loops).
Source: RNAcentral